UAUUUCCUCAUAUAAAUUCACUUUUUUCGGAUUAUUUCACCAAUUCGGUUCACUGUUUGUAUCGAAUAUAUUUUUUUUUGUUGGCAGAUCACCCAUAUCGAAGGAAAAAGAUCAAUUUCAACGUUGUGGAUACAAUAAUAUCCAGGAAACUGUCAGAGAUAAAAAAAAUAGUGUAAAUGGAAAAAGAUUUUUUUAUGUAUCACACAAAAGAACAACUGUUUAUUUAACUGAUAACAUUUAAAUUCCGCUAGAAGGAAACAUUAGAAUUCUCUAUAAAUCGUUUGAAAAUGCACAAGUUUUACAUAUUCCUGAAAUAUUUAAAAUUACAUUUAACAAAUAAAUAUUUCAGCAUUUUAUUAAUAAGAUUCACUAAAGAUUAAUUCAACUCACGACAUAUCGAGAACUUGGUUAUCUUGUAACUGCGAUAUCUAAUUACGAACAAUUCUAUACCAUUUAAUCAUCACAUCUGUUAAUCUUCAUUCCGUUGGUUAAUCUCGACCACUAUAUAAUCAUUUUCGCACAUUUCGUGAAAUUCUCAGGUAAUUCUCAACGAGACACUCGAAAUUAGUCAAUUUACGAUAUUCGAAAUCCUGAUUAAAAGAAACCAGAGUUUAUUUUAUUGCGCAAUUUGACAUUUCUAACUUUAUCACCUUCCAAGUAUUAUAAUUCAUCGGACUUGAACAGCCGCAGAAACAGAUACAUAUCCAGCGACACGAUCAUUAAGCAAGCUGGUAAAUUAGAAAGCAUGUAGCGCCACCAUUUUGGAGGUUAGUUUUUGUUUUGUCAUCUGUGGAACCCGUAGCGCUGUUCUCGAACUUGUGUCACACCGCAGUUUAAAUCACGGGAUGUGGAUUAGCAUAACGAGUAAGCAUGGUGUAUAAUGCACAAUGAUAAUUUGCGUUCAACUUCCUGUGCAAUUUAGAUAUCAGAUUGCUAAAGGGGCGUUCUAUUAAACUGGACACAGGAAAUAUCAUCUGAUAGAUGAAAAAGUAGAUUUACGAGAUACUUAAUGCGUGUUUAAUUGGAACGAAGAAUCGUACGAUUACGUACAUUUUUAAAAUCACACGUGUAUUAUCUUGGGAAACGAUGGAUCGGAUCGAUAUUAUUCAUCGCAUGACUCGAACUUCUUUUAUAUUAUGUUUUUCAUAUCAAUCCAAGUAUGAUGGACAACAAGAGACCAACCGUGGAAUCGACUGAAUAAAUUUUAAUUUUCCAAGCCGCCAGCUUAUUCACCUUGACAAGUUGAAUCAACAGCAUCGUACGUAUGACAGGUUAAAGAAACUUCUUUGGGUUAUUCGCAAUGUUACAAUGUUGGACGGAUAUUUAGAGCACGGGUAACGAGAUCAAGAGGAUAACAACUUGCGACAUGUUUAAUCAUUACUGACCAAAAAAGGAUGUUUCCAGUGAAACGAGAAAUUCCAAGUAGCCUGACAGGAAUAAAUCUAAUAUUUAUUAUGAUAUAUAUUUCGUAUAAAUAGGAUAAUCAUUUAUUAAUUUUUCCAUUUUACAUUGUUCGUGACGAUUUUAUGAAAAAAAUUCAUUUAAUUUAAUAUUCAAUCUUAUCUACAAUCUUUAAUAAAUAUUUUGUAUUUGCAGAAAGGUGAUAGAUCGUUUCCACAAUUAUAUUGCCAUUUUGAAGAGUUAUCGCGAUAAGAUAAUGCCUCAACUAUGGAAGGUGUUCGAGUAGUAGUCGUCUAAGAGCUUUGGGAUUCAUUUUCAGAAUAUCAAACUGAUGCGAUAUUUGAAACUCUUUGAAAUUUAAAAAGGUUUAUAGAAAUAUCGUGAUAUCAACUAAAGAUUUCUUCGUUAUAAUAAUUUUCCACGAUAGAAGAAGAAGGUCGGAAAGGGAUGAUCGACACGUAGAGAUCUAAUGCAAAUCUAAUACAACAUGGAACAGAUAGGGGGAUUACAAUUAAGCCGAAUUACAAAUGCCACAUUGACAGGUUAGAAUACGUUCGACCUAUUGGAAUUUUAAAACAGGGACAUAGCAUUCAGAGUUGGAAUUUUUUUUAAAGGAAUUGUGCAGAAAUUGGCGCGAUUCUUAUUAUUAUUUUUUUUCUCGAUAAAAAUGAAAAGAAAAAUUGCACAAGCGAUAAUCAAAUUCAACAAAGAGGGGAGAAACGAGCGAAUUAAUUCCCCGGAAUCUAAUGGAGAACGAUUGUCGGUGAUUAAAAUAUAAAUGGGAAAAGGUCAACAGUGAAACGAUCGGUGUGCACAGGAUUUGAAUUGUGCCCGUGGCGCAAAUGAAAACGAAUAAUUCAUUAACAUUCACCAGUUAUUCCCCCGGUUAUUCGAUAUCGAAAGUACUUUUUGCUCCGCCCCUCAUCUCUCAUAAUUCUCCGCCGAAAAUGCUAUAUUCCGAAUUUUCCCAUCUCUUACUUGCUCGCACAACGUACAACGCGUUACAGGAAAUAACGAGCCGACGUUACAACAUUCGAAAUUUCCCGACUUAAUAUUUGCACCAUCGUGCUAAUUGCAAUUUCCUCUUAGAAAAAAAUGUCGCGUGCUUGCAUUCUCUUUUUCUUUUUUUUUUUUUGCGAAUUGAACUAUAGCUGCAACUAUAAACAGAUGAUUUAUACAGUCAUCGA
This is a long non-coding RNA of Apis florea (little honeybee), 2588 nucleotides long. The record is from RefSeq and is a predicted model, not a curated record. Lineage: Eukaryota; Metazoa; Arthropoda; Insecta; Hymenoptera; Apidae.